UCUCCGUUGGUGAACCAGCGGAGGGAACAUUACAGAGUUGCAAAACUCCCAAACCAUUGUGAACGUUACCUUUCCCGUUGCUUCGGCGGGCGGCCCGGGCCCCGCGCCCGGCGCCCCCCGGCCCCCCGUGGGCGCCCGCCGGAGGUAAACCAAACGCUUGAAUUGCAUGGCCUCUCUUAGUCUUCUGUACUGAAUAAGUCAAAACUUUCAACAACGGAUCUCUUGGUUCUGGCAUCGAUGAAGAACGCGGC
Molecule: unclassified non-coding RNA, 251 nt
Filed under: plant metagenome
Description: partial contains small subunit ribosomal RNA, internal transcribed spacer 1, and 5.8S ribosomal RNA
Rfam family: 5.8S ribosomal RNA (bases 203-251)
Source: RNAcentral